GUCCACGCCCUAAACGAUGUCAACUAGGUGUUGGGAGGGUAAACCUUUAGUACCGUAGCUAACGCGAGAAGUUGACCGCCUGGGGAGUACGGCCGCAAGGUUAAACUCAAAGGAAUUGACGGGACCCGCACAAGCGGUGGAUGAUGUGGAUUAAUUCGAUGCAACGCGAAAACCUUACCUACCCUUGACAUGUCAGGAACUUUCCAGAGAUGGAUUGGUGCCCGAAAGGGAACCUGAACACAGGUGCUGCAUGGCUGUCGU
This 261-nucleotide ribosomal RNA is filed under the name uncultured bacterium. Its description in RNAcentral is "partial 16S ribosomal RNA". It matches the Rfam family "Bacterial small subunit ribosomal RNA", at positions 793 to 1055 of the family's 1533-position model. The record is from RNAcentral.